GAUGAACGCUGGCGGCGUGCCUAAUACAUGCAAGUCGAGCGAACAGACGAGGAGCUUGCUCCUCUGACGUUAGCGGCGGACGGGUGAGUAACACGUGGAUAACCUACCUAUAAGACUGGGAUAACUUCGGGAAACCGGAGCUAAUACCGGAUAAUAUAUUGAACCGCAUAGUUCAAUAGUGAAAGACGGUUUUGCUGUCACUUAUAGAUGGAUCCGCGCCGCAUUAGCUAGUUGGUAAGGUAACGGCUUACCAAGGCAACGAUGCGUAGCCGACCUGAGAGGGUGAUCGGCCACACUGGAACUGGGACAGGGUCCAGACUCCUACGGGAGGCAGCAGUAGGGAAUCUUCCGCAAUAGGCGAAAGCCUGACGGAGCAACGCCGCGUGAGUGAUGAAGGUCUUCGGAUCGUAAAACUCUGUUAUUAGGGAAGAACAAAUGUGUAAGUAACUAUGCACGUCUUGACGGUACCUAAUCAGAAAGCCACGGCUAACUACGUG
RNAcentral lists this ribosomal RNA (497 nucleotides) under uncultured bacterium. RNAcentral's name for it is "partial 16S ribosomal RNA". It matches the Rfam family "Bacterial small subunit ribosomal RNA", at positions 28 to 507 of the family's 1533-position model. The record is from RNAcentral.